This is a long non-coding RNA of Mirounga angustirostris (Northern elephant seal), 2803 nucleotides long. RefSeq lists it as uncharacterized. The transcript is spliced from 5 exons. The record is from RefSeq and is a predicted model, not a curated record. NCBI's taxonomy places the organism in Eukaryota, Metazoa, Chordata, Mammalia, Carnivora, Phocidae.
UCGAGCCCCGCAUCGGGCUCCCUGCUCGGCGGGAAGCCUGCUUCUCCUUCUCCCACUCCCCCUGCUUGUGUUCCCUCUCUCGCUGUGUCUCUCUCUGUCAAAAAAAUAAAAUCUUAAAAAAAAAAAAAGAAAGAAAGGAAGGGACAGGUGUCUGAUGACCAGUACCUAGUAUGUGUUGGACAUUUUGCGAAGUGCUUUUUGGAGGAGGUAUUGAGGGAACCUCAGUUGCACAGAAUUGGGCUAUCAGUCUUUGGUUCAUAACACAUUCUGAUUAUCGGCCCUCAGCUUUUAUGUUUGUUUUAGUAAUAACAUGUGCCAAGGGCAGUAAUACACACUGAGUGCUUUUCCACAACUUUAGUUCACUUCAUCCUCACAACUACCCCCAAAACAUGCAAGAUUCAAAUGGCAGGGGAGGUAUUGAGUCAAGUUCUAGUUAAGUUCCAUUUCCAGGAAUGUUUCCAUUAUAUCUCGGCUGUCCCCAGGGAGGCAUUCUUAAAUUUCUUAUUUUAUUACUUCUAGUAAUAUAUGAUAAAUUUUCCAUGUCCUGGGGCAGGAUAUUUUUUGAAAUAUUUUCUUGUUCUGACUACUCUUAAGUGCUGGCUUUCAACUUUCUCUGGCUCCAUUUCCUGGCAGCUAGGACCUGGCCUCCUAGUGUGAAGGGCACCCUGGGGCUGGUAAACAAGGCACCUGGGUCACAAGGCCCUAAUAGGUCAGAAGGUCACGUGCCAGUGAAUGUCAGGGUGGAAGGGCCUUAGAGAUACCAAAGCCAGAACAACAGAACCUUACUUCUGAGUCCUGAGUAAUGGGGUGGGUUUGCUCUAGAAUACUCGACAACUGAAAUGGCAUUCUGAGUGUGCAUUGGUCUCCUGGGAAGUUUUCUGGACCACUCACUUCCUCAAUUCUGGGCUGUGUUCCCAGAUGCAGAAAAAAAGUUUGGUUAAGUAAUUGGCUAAGCUAAUAUCGCUAUUAUGUGGUAGAGCUAUGAUUCGAAUCCAUUACACUCUGUCCAUUCAUGAUGGUAAUGCUUUGUUAUUCAUUUUCCAUUGCCCCGGGUCUUGGUUCAAGAUUCUUCCCUUGGGGGCUCUGUGGUGUCCAGUGUCCGCUGUCUUUGAAAGUCUGCCAGCAAGGGUCUGUUUGGGGGUCUGACCAGUAAGGUCUUCUGGCAUCCAGAACAAGUUUCCCCCAUUCUAAAAGACCCUGUAGCUGGGAAUGGCUCUGGUACCUCUCUCCUGGUGGUUGACUCACCUCCUUGUGUCUAGUUGCAGGAAUGGCAUAUGGGGACUGGCCUCCCAUGAGAGGCUCAGAUCCAGUCUGCAGAGGUCUCUCUUCUGGCCAUCUUGGAGGCCGUUCAGAUUGUGGAAAUGAUGGAGUUCCAGGACAGCCAACCUCAGAGCUAGGAGAGGUGGACAGAAACAGCUGAGAAGUCGCCCAACUGCGAGAAGACGGCCGUGGAGUUCGGGAACCAGCUGGAGGGCAAGUGGGCCGUGCUGGGGACCCUGCUGCAGGAGUACGGGCUGCUGCAGAGGCGGCUGGAGAAAUGGGAACUUCUGGGUCCUGAGGCUGCCACUGGGCAGCAAGGGAGAAGCCCCCAAGGUGUCUCUGACGACAGAAGAUGUGGCCAUGUGACUCCGAACAGGAGUGGAGCAGCCUGGAAGACUGGCAGAAGGAGCUCUGCAAGCACAUGAAGGGGAACCGUGAGAGUCUGGUCUCCCUGGCGAGGAACCCUUUAUUUGAAUGACAGCUGGAAAUCUAUAACACAGGGCAAAGCAGGACCACUCUGGUGGAAGCAAGGGACAUGUUCUCUCAGAACACAGGUCCUGCCAAGACACCUGUUCCUUGCUUUCUAGACUCAGACAUUUUAUUUGGGGAGAAAGGCUUACUUUUGGAGCAAGUUCUUUGGGUGUGUGAAUGCAGUCACGUUGACCUCAGAGCUGAAAGAAGGCACCAUCCCUUCUCGGCACCAGCUUGGAAGAUCCCUGAAGUUUCCAUCUGAGACCACAACGUCUGUACCUGGCUUGGUAUUCCGGCAGAAAGUGAAGCCCCGGGCUAACUCCUGGCCUGCGCUGUGAAUGGGAGACCAGGCCCAGUAAAUACAACGGAAUCGGUGACCCAAGCUCCGAGAACUGUGAAAAUAACAGGAGCAACACUGGAGGGCUCAUGGAGGGCUCGUCCUGGUAAAUAAGAAGACCUCUACUAAAGCACACGACUGAAAACAGCCUGAGGACAGACAGAACGCCUGAAUCCCAGACCUGGGGAACCGCCAAUGUAAAGCCACAGUGUAAUAAAAUAAUCACAAAUGUUUAUCCAGCCGUCAUUAUGUUCGGGACAAUUCCAUAGGGGCUGUGAUUGUUACCCCCAUUUUGCAGAUGAGGAAACUGAGGUGCCCGGAUCUUACAUAAGUAAUCCAACGUGCAAUGAUUAGUCAGUGAGCUUGCGAACCCAAGCGGUCGAGCUCGCCCACAUACCUCACCUCACCAUACCAUCACUGCCUAAUAGCAACCGUGGUCCUAAAUGCACAGGGAAAGGAAAGGCCAUUUAUGUAAAUUAUGCUGGGAGAAUUUAGUUGGCCAUUUGGGAAAAAUUAUUAAAGUAGCAACUAAGCUUCUCUUUGUGUAUCAAAAUAAAGUCCAGGUGGAUUAAAGCAUGACGUAUAGGGGCGCCUGGGUGGCUCAGUCCUUAAGCGUCUGCCUUCGGCUCAGGUCAUGAUCUCAGGGUUCUGGGAUCGAGCCCCGCAUCAGGCUCCCUGCUCAGCGGGAAGCCUGCUUCUCCCUCUCCCACUCCCCCUGCUUGUAUUCCCUCUCUC